RNAcentral lists this non-coding RNA (445 nucleotides) under Erinaceus europaeus (western European hedgehog). RNAcentral describes it as "Bag-1 internal ribosome entry site (IRES)". It matches the Rfam family "Bag-1 internal ribosome entry site (IRES)". Rfam says of the family: This family represents the bag-1 internal ribosome entry site (IRES). When expressed the BAG-1 protein is known to enhance the anti-apoptotic properties of Bcl-2. The record is from Rfam by way of RNAcentral. Lineage: Eukaryota; Metazoa; Chordata; Mammalia; Eulipotyphla; Erinaceidae.
UGGGCGGUCAACAAGCGCAGGUCUGGCGGAGCGCGGUGGUGCGCGGAGACCACGAAGAGGCCGGCAGCUGCGGAGCCCCCGGCGGCGCGCCCCCCGGCCGAACCGGAAGCAGCGCCAGUCAGUGCCACUUGCCGUGCGCGGCCCGCCUCCGCCUCCGCCUCCGCCGCCGCCGCCGCCGCCUCCACCUCCACCUCCGCCGCCGCGGCUGCCGCCUCCGCCGCCUUCGCGGCGACCCUCGGUCAAGCGUGCAGCGCCCGGCGGUCAUGGCCGCACCAACCCGAGCGCCACCACCGGCGCUCGCAGGCCGCGGGUGAAGAAGAAAGUCCGAUCUCGCUCCGCCCGGCGCGGAGAGGCGAUCUGGAGCAAAGAGGUGGCCAGGAUCCCAGAGGUAACCAAGAGUGAAGAGGUGACCAGAAGCCAGAAAGGCACCGAGAGCCGAGAGGUG